UUAGCCGAAACCAAAACAGAGGUAUAUUAUUGUUAAUAAUAAAACUGAAUUAAACGAUUCCGGCUAAA
RNAcentral lists this transfer RNA (68 nucleotides) under Prorhinotermes canalifrons. Its description in RNAcentral is "tRNA-Asn". The record is from RNAcentral. Lineage: Eukaryota; Metazoa; Arthropoda; Insecta; Blattodea; Rhinotermitidae.